This 31-nucleotide non-coding RNA is filed under the name Homo sapiens (human). Lineage: Eukaryota; Metazoa; Chordata; Mammalia; Primates; Hominidae. The record is from RNAcentral.
UUCCAUCCUAUUGGUGUUGUGAGGUUAGGUA